CCUAUAAAUGUGUAAAAUAUAAAUAUUAAAAAUAUUAUUUUCUGAUAAUUUAAGUUUUGACAAAAAAUGAUCAUUCCAUAGUAUUGAAUAUAAAUACUGAAAGUAUCAUUCUCUAACAAUUUAAAUGAGAGAGAGAGAGAUUGAAUAUAAAUACUGGAAGUAUCAUUCUCUGACAAUUUAAAUGAGAGAGAGAUUGAAUAUAAAUACUGAAAGUAUCAUUCUCAGACAAUUUAAAUGAGAGAGAGAGAGAGAGAGGAUAUCAUGGUUGGGUAGUGGAAAAUCAUGAGGGAAUGUGAUGAAUUGAUGUGUGGGGUUUAAUGAUAGGGGAUGUAGCAAUUGGAGAUUUUUUUUUUUUUUUUGAGAGAAGGUACAAUUGG
This 377-nucleotide long non-coding RNA is filed under the name Ananas comosus (pineapple). Its description in RNAcentral is "long non-coding RNA (ACOM_LNC035820)". The record is from RNAcentral. Lineage: Eukaryota; Viridiplantae; Streptophyta; Magnoliopsida; Poales; Bromeliaceae.